GAUGAACGCUGGCGGCGUGCCUAAUACAUGCAAGUCGAGCGAACAGAUGAGGAGCUUGCUCCUCUGACGUUAGCGGCGGACGGGUGAGUAACACGUGGAUAACCUACCUAUAAGACUGGGAUAACUUCGGGAAACCGGAGCUAAUACCGGAUAAUAUCUUGAACCGCAUGGUUCAAUAGUGAAAGACGGUUUUGCUGUCACUUCUAGAUGGAUCCGCGCCGCAUUAGCUAGUUGGUAAGGUAACGGCUUACCAAGGCAACGAUGCGUAGCCGAGCUGAGAGGGUGAUCGGCCACACGGGAACUGAGACACGGUCCAGACUCCUACGGGAGGCAGCAGUAGGGAAUCUUCCGCAAUGGGCGAAAGCCUGACGGAGCAACGCCGCGUGAGUGAUGAAGGUCUUCGGAUCGUAAAACUCUGUUAUUAGGGAAGAACAAAUGUGGAAGUAACUAUGCACGUCUUGACGGUACCUAAUCAGAAAGCCACGGCUAACUACGUG
RNAcentral lists this ribosomal RNA (497 nucleotides) under uncultured bacterium. RNAcentral describes it as "partial 16S ribosomal RNA". It matches the Rfam family "Bacterial small subunit ribosomal RNA", at positions 28 to 507 of the family's 1533-position model. The record is from RNAcentral.